GCUAUCAGAGACAAAACACAGAUUAUCAAUUUCAUUUAGAUACAGGGAAACCUUACCUGUAGAUCGAAUGCGGGUAAUCUUCAGCACGGGUGACUGCGGAAAAGGUGGAAGAAUGUAUAUCACCCAUGAUGCAACAGCAAUAUACUUCAAAGUUGAAUCCAAAUAUGGUGCCUAUACUAAUAUAACUAUUGCAACAAGUGAGUUCCCGCCUUAUGCCUGGAAGGAUGUGAUGUUUGUGUAUGAUGGUGAAAUGGUGGAAACUCACGUCAGAGCUGGAAAUCUACUACAGGUAUCUAAAUUACCAGCACCGAUGACGAAGAUAUUAGAGUGUGGUUUUGGUGUAGGUAUUGGUGGUCUUAUACCAGGUUAUAGAGGAGAGUUAGAUGAUCUAUCUGUGCAUCUGUGUAAUAAUUAAAGUGAAACAGCUGAAACCAAG
This is a long non-coding RNA of Patella vulgata (common limpet), 436 nucleotides long. RefSeq lists it as uncharacterized. The record is from RefSeq and is a predicted model, not a curated record. The transcript is spliced from 4 exons. Lineage: Eukaryota; Metazoa; Mollusca; Gastropoda; Patellidae.